AAUUUAUCAACUGUUCCGACUUUACCAUUGGAAUGAAGUUGGCUUAUGGAGGGACUUUCAAAUUGCUGUGUGCAUACACAGCUCCUCUUGAAUGCAUUUCAUUAGCUUGCUUACAGGCAAUCUUCCAUCGACAUGAUAAACUAUCUAUGUUGAUUAGAGUUUGCUUUGCAACAACUAUCAC
RNAcentral lists this unclassified non-coding RNA (181 nucleotides) under uncultured Basidiomycota. RNAcentral's name for it is "sequence contains ITS2". Lineage: Eukaryota; Fungi; Basidiomycota. The record is from RNAcentral.